UUGUCUUGUAAUUGGAAUGAUGGUGACGUAAAAUCUCACCAGAGUAACAAUUGGAGGGCAAGUCUGGUGCCAGCAGCCGCGGUAAUUCCAGCUCCAAUAGCGUAUAUUAAACUUGUUGCAGUUAAAAAGCUCGUAGUUGAAUUUCUGCGUUGCCCGACUCGGCUACUUGCCUUGUCUGGUUUCGCUUUUGGGGUUUUCCCCUUUUUACUUUGAGAAAAUUAGAGUGUUUCAAGCAGACUUGUGUCUUGAAUACUUCAGCAUGGAAUAAUAAAGUAGGACUUUGGUUCUAUUUUGUUGGUUUG
This 302-nucleotide ribosomal RNA is filed under the name Babesia gibsoni. Its description in RNAcentral is "SSU rRNA". It matches the Rfam family "Eukaryotic small subunit ribosomal RNA", at positions 498 to 851 of the family's 1831-position model. Lineage: Eukaryota; Apicomplexa; Aconoidasida; Piroplasmida; Babesiidae. The record is from RNAcentral.